This 496-nucleotide ribosomal RNA is filed under the name uncultured bacterium. RNAcentral's name for it is "partial 16S ribosomal RNA". It matches the Rfam family "Bacterial small subunit ribosomal RNA", at positions 29 to 507 of the family's 1533-position model. The record is from RNAcentral.
AUGAACGCUGGCGGCGUGCCUAAUACAUGCAAGUCGAGCGAACAGAUGAGGAGCUUGCUCCUCUGACGUUAGCGGCGGACGGGUGAGUAACACGUGGAUAACCUACCUAUAAGACUGGGAUAACUUCGGGAAACCGGAGCUAAUACCGGAUUAUAUAUUGAACCGCAUGGUUCAAUAGUGAAAGACGGUUUUGCUGUCACUUAUAGAUGGAUCCGCGCCGCAUUAGCUAGUUGGUAAGGUAACGGCUUACCAAGGCAACGAUGCGUAGCCGACCUGAGAGGGUGAUCGGCCACACUGGAACUGAGACACGGUCCAGACUCCUACGGGAGGCAGCAGUAGGGAAUCUUCCGCAAUGGGCGAAAGCCUGACGGAGCAACGCCGCGUGAGUGAUGAAGGUCUUCGGAUCGUAAAACUCUGUUAUUAGGGAAGAACAAAUGUGUAAGUAACUAUGCACGUCUUGACGGUACCUAAUCAGAAAGCCACGGCUAACUACGUG